ACUUAGGAAUCUACCUAGUAGUGGGGGAUAGCACGGGGAAACUCGUAUUAAUACCGCAUACGACCUACGGGAGAAAGGGGGCAGUUUACUGCUCUCGCUAUUAGAUGAGCCUAAGUCGGAUUAGCUAGAUGGUGGGGUAAAGGCCUACCAUGGCGACGAUCUGUAGCUGGUCUGAGAGGAUGAUCAGCCACACCGGGACUGAGACACGGCCCGGACUCCUACGGGAGGCAGCAGUGGGGAAUAUUGGACAAUGGGGGAAACCCUGAUCCAGCCAUGCCGCGUGUGUGAAGAAGGCCUUUUGGUUGUAAAGCACUUUAAGCAGUGAAGAAGACUCUUCGGUUAAUACCCGGAGACGAUGACAUUAGCUGCAGAAUAAGCACCGGCUAACUCUGUGCCAGCAGCCGCGGUAAUACAGAGGGUGCAAGCGUUAAUCGGAAUUACUGGGCGUAAAGGGAGCGUAGGUGGCUCGAUAAGUCAGAUGUGAAAUCCCCGGGCUCAACCUGGGAACUGCAUCUGAUACUGUUGAGCUAGAGUAUGUGAGAGGAAGGUAGAAUUCCAGGUGUAGCGGUGAAAUGCGUAGAGAUCUGGAGGAAUACCGAUGGCGAAGGCAGCCUUCUGGCAUAAUACUGACACUGAGGCUCGAAAGCGUGGGUAGCAAACAGGAUUAGAUACCCUGGUAGUCCACGCCGUAAACGAUGUCUACUAGUCGUUGGGUCCCUUGAGGACUUAGUGACGCAGCUAACGCAAUAAGUAGACCGCCUGGGGAGUACGGCCGCAAGGUUAAAACUCAAAUGAAUUGACGGGGGCCCGCACAAGCGGUGGAGCAUGUGGUUUAAUUCGAUGCAACGCGAAGAACCUUACCUGGUCUUGACAUAUCUAGAAUCCUGCAGAGAUGCGGGAG
RNAcentral lists this ribosomal RNA (901 nucleotides) under Psychrobacter cryohalolentis. RNAcentral describes it as "bacterial SSU rRNA". It matches the Rfam family "Bacterial small subunit ribosomal RNA", at positions 115 to 1014 of the family's 1533-position model. Lineage: Bacteria; Pseudomonadati; Pseudomonadota; Gammaproteobacteria; Moraxellales; Moraxellaceae. The record is from RNAcentral.